UAUUAAAAUUCCAUUUAUUUGUACUGUUAAAAACUAGCGUAGCUAACGGAAUAACCAAAAAGUGACAUGACAUGCCACAUGUACCUUAAGCCUAUGUACAAUUAUCUAUUUUUAAUAGUAUAUCUAGAUGAAUUUUUUUACA
Non-coding RNA from Gossypium raimondii (Peruvian cotton), 142 nucleotides. NCBI's taxonomy places the organism in Eukaryota, Viridiplantae, Streptophyta, Magnoliopsida, Malvales, Malvaceae. The record is from Rfam.